GACGAACGCUGGCGGCGUGCCUAAUACAUGCAAGUCGAGCGGACUUUCAAGAAGCUUGCUUUUUGAAAGUUAGCGGCGGACGGGUGAGUAACACGUGGGCAACCUGCCUGCAAGACGGGGAUAACUCCGGGAAACCGGGGCUAAUACCGGAUAAUAUCUUCCUUCGCAUGAAGGAAGGUUGAAAGGCGGCGCAAGCUGCCGCUUGCAGAUGGGCCCGCGGCGCAUUAGCUAGUUGGUGAGGUAACGGCUCACCAAGGCGACGAUGCGUAGCCGACCGGAGAGGGUGAUCGGCCACACUGGGACUGAGACACGGCCCAGACUCCUACGGGAGGCAGCAGGAGGGAAUCUUCCGCAAUGGACGAAAGUCUGACGGAGCAACGCCGCGUGAGCGAAGAAGGUCUUCGGAUCGUAAAGCUCUGUUGUCAGGGAAGAACAAGUACCGUUCGAACAGGGCGGUACCUUGACGGUACCUGACCAGAAAGCCACGGCUAACUACGUG
This 499-nucleotide ribosomal RNA is filed under the name uncultured bacterium. RNAcentral describes it as "partial 16S ribosomal RNA". It matches the Rfam family "Bacterial small subunit ribosomal RNA", at positions 28 to 507 of the family's 1533-position model. The record is from RNAcentral.